CCUACGGGUGGCAGCAGUGAGGAAUAUUGGUCAAUGGACGAGAGUCUGAACCAGCCAAGUAGCGUGAAGGAUGACUGCCCUAUGGGUUGUAAACUUCUUUUAUAUGGGAAUAAAACAGGGUAUGCAUACCCUUUUGUAUGUACCAUAUGAAUAAGGAUCGGCUAACUCCGUGCCAGCAGCCGCGGUAAUACGGAGGAUCCGAGCGUUAUCCGGAUUUAUUGGGUUUAAAGGGAGCGUAGGUGGAUUGUUAAGUCAGUUGUGAAAGUUUGCGGCUCAACCGGAAAAUUGCAGUUGAAACUGGCAGUCUUGAGUACAGUAGAGGUGGGCGGAAUUCGUGGUGUAGCGGUGAAAUGCUUAGAUAUCACGAAGAACUCCGAUUGCGAAGGCAGCUCACUGGACUGCAACUGACACUGAUGCUCGAAAGUGUGGGGAUCAAACAGGAUUAGAUACCCGAGUAGUC
RNAcentral lists this ribosomal RNA (460 nucleotides) under uncultured bacterium. RNAcentral's name for it is "partial 16S ribosomal RNA". It matches the Rfam family "Bacterial small subunit ribosomal RNA", at positions 338 to 795 of the family's 1533-position model. The record is from RNAcentral.